AGUGAACGCUGGCGGUAGGCCUAACACAUGCAAGUCGAACGGCAGCACAGUAAGGGCUUGCUCUUACGGGUGGCGAGUGGCGGACGGGUGAGGAAUACAUCGGAAUCUACUUUUUCGUGGGGGAUAACGUAGGGAAACUUACGCUAAUACCGCAUACGACCUACGGGUGAAAGCAGGGGAUCUUCGGACCUUGCGCGAUUGAAUGAGCCGAUGUCGGAUUAGCUAGUUGGCGGGGUAAAGGCCCACCAAGGCGACGAUCCGUAGCUGGUCUGAGAGGAUGAUCAGCCACACUGGAACGGAGACACGGUCCAGACGCCUACGGGAGGCAGCAGUGGGGAAUAUUGGACAAUGGGCGCAAGCCUGAUCCAGCCAUACCGCGUGGGUGAAGAAGGCCUUCGGGUUGUAAAGCCCUUUUGUUGGGAAAGAAAAGCAGCAGGUUAAUACCCCGCUGUUCUGACGGUACCCAAAGAAUAAGCACCGGCUAACUUCGUG
This 492-nucleotide ribosomal RNA is filed under the name uncultured bacterium. RNAcentral's name for it is "partial 16S ribosomal RNA". It matches the Rfam family "Bacterial small subunit ribosomal RNA", at positions 29 to 507 of the family's 1533-position model. The record is from RNAcentral.